This is a long non-coding RNA of Gasterosteus aculeatus aculeatus (three-spined stickleback), 4406 nucleotides long. The record is from Ensembl. NCBI's taxonomy places the organism in Eukaryota, Metazoa, Chordata, Actinopteri, Perciformes, Gasterosteidae.
AAUCUGUCAGUGGAGCUUCAACUCAAAUAAGGAAAAGAUAGUUUCAUUGAAUUUUGAAAAAUUUGAUUAUGAAGCCAUAAUAUGUGGUAACGAGGCAGUUACAGUUGGGUGGGAGAUUUGAAGUGCCAAUGAAAAGCCCCUACAGUGAAACGCUACACUAGUAGCUGACAAAAUGACUAAUGGCACUACCAAAGUGCCCUUGUUUUGAUAUUUAAUAGCCCCAUACCCCCCAAUGUGAGCAAAAGCACAUGACAAGGCUUAACCAGGGUUGUGACAGGCUUAGCUUUCUGGUUACUGUGAGGAGUGACAUGCUGAUGGGGAAAAUGAGUUUUCCAAAGCUUUGCGAGAGUAGCCACGGUUUACCGAUGUCACCAGAGCAGGUCUCAGGCACAUAUGCACACAUACAAAGACCCACCAGCAUCACCUGCCUGGAGACAGGGUGGAUUACGGGGAAUUAGGGGGCACCGUGUGACUUAGCACUGAAACUGGGUGUCCUAUUGUUGUCGGUGCAGGAUCUAAAAUUCUGCCAGAACACAUUGACACAUUCUUACAAUAGAAAACACAAAAAUGACUGAGGGGUCACCGACACGAACACAUGCGUAAGGUAAAGACACAGUUGUGGCUGCAUGCAUGUGCUGACACAUGUACGCAGUGCCUGCUACACACACACACAUAUAUGGACAUGAUCCCUACACUGUAAGUGUGUCCCCCUACCCAACAGUAGCAACUGUAACAAUGAAAAGGCUUAGCGUUGCAACAGUAGCCCGCCUGUAGAUUGACAUACGAAACCGCUGUUGGUACAGUGGGACCACUCACAGCCUCGGGGCUCGAUCAUUUUUCUUUUUUAUCCAACACUAACGUGCAGCUGUGCACUGUUAUAAUUAACAGUGCGGCCUUUACAUGAGAUGUCAAUCUGUUUUCGUGCUUUUAACGGCGUGCAUAUCCAGCUGAUGUGGGCUGUGAUGUGGCGUCGUGGACCGAGGAUACCAUUUGAUAUGAAGAACCUGUUUGAUUCUCGUGCUUCAAGAUAAAUCUUACAGUUUAACUUGCAACUUAACCCAACAUAUUUGUCACAGAGAUUACUCAGUGCUAUGUGGUAAGUAAAGGACUUUCGUUCCAUACUUACAGGUUGCCAUCUAUGGCAAUGAGCCCUAAACCCCUUUUCCAAAGAUUGUAUUUUGCAUUAACUUCUGUAUAUAAUAUCUCAUAACUCUAUAUCUAUAAAGUAUAUAGAGUUCCAUAUUUUAUUUAUUAUUAUAAUAAGUUUGACUCAUCUAACAAUUACUGGCAUUUUUCAAUUGCUGAUGUGGUUGUAUUAGAAAUAUUAAAUCAUUAGCGUAGCUUUUUAGGCACCUCUUGCGACAUGCACACAUCUCACAGUUUUAAAACACACAUGUCCUUCGGGUAGGACAGAAGAGACACUAUGGCCUCGGCAUACUGUGAAGAAGUCAGCUGUAAAUGCACCGCUGCUGCGUUUUGAACACACACACACACACAGCGUGCAUGCUGGUACAAAGACAGAAAAACAAUGGCAAGACAAACACAAUGAAUAAUGUAUUUAAAAGGGCCCAGAACACUUCAUUCACGCGCAAACAUGCACACGUGCACACACACACCUACACACAAACACACUCUCAUACAGUACACCGUAUCAUGCAUAUCUCUCACACCCUCUGCCAGUUGUCAGUUAUUGCCUUUGAGCACGAGGCCUGAGGGACUAGAUUAAAUCCUUCUGGAGACAGGAUGACGGGCACAGAGGCCUCCACACACUGAACACACACUCACAGACACACUCAUGGAAUGACGCCAUCUUAUGUUCCAACUAUCUCUGCAUGAUUAAACUCACUGUUCUUUGCCUGGAUCUUUUGACAGAACUUUUUAUCCUUCAAUUAAUUACUUCUGACUUUAAUAUCUCCUUAUUACAUAUGAAAUUCUGUUUUUUUUAACACAAACAUUUGAACAGCUCCAAAGCCUGUUGAAUGUUGAAACUUUUUGCAGACUGUUGCUCAAACCACGUAGGAAAUUAAACGACCCGCCAGUAAAUAUUUUCUUGUGAUUGCCUGCAAAUAGUGAGAGCCUCGUAAACAUUUCAUUCCAUUUUCCUCUGGGGCAAUAUAACCAAAUGGCUGAAUUAUUCUUUAUCUAUGUAAUAAAGCAGAUCAAAAGUUAGUGUCUCAGUGUUGUAUGCUGCUAGUCUUGACAAACAUAUUUGAUUACCUAAUUAAUACAAUAUUGACUAUGCAAUUUGUGUAUUUCUUUCCAACCUCUUACAUUGCAAUAUAUCUUUAUGGGCCAAUGUGGCAGAAGUAUUGCCAGGUGAUUUGAGUAGCUGAAUACUUGAAAUUGCCUUGUUGUGAUUUGCGCAGUUCCUCGACUGUCUAAUGACAAAGUCUUCGCCGCAGAUGAGUUGCAGGCGGAUUUUUCCAGGCAUCACAAAGCGAUAGCAGCUGUAAUCAACCUCAGAGUUUCCAAACCUGAAUAAAUGACAGUUUAUUUUACCAGAAGACGGUGAUAAGAUGGUUACGUUUUCUGCCGCUGCGCUUCCACAUUUUUUUGCUCCUUUGUUGGAACUCGAAUGGCGACGAGAACCGUCUUCCUGUGAGCGUUCCUAGCAGCUGUAAUAAUACUUCAGCGACUGAAUUAGCAAAGGUUUACGGCCCAGUUCCUGCAGCGAAAUGGGGCCAGUUACUGUUACUGCACGGCUGUGUGGGUCAAACCUGACUAAAUGAGUACAAUGGAUGUUUAGAAAGGAACUAAAUGCUCACGUAAUGGCAAAAGUGACUGUGUGCACAUGAUAUUGGUUGCCAUCCUUUGUUUCACUUUAAACAGCUGAAAGGAACUAUUCAUCCCCACUGCAUGGUUGUUGUGGAACCAAGGAAGCCUUUUAUUGACAGAUGACAUCAUUAUGGCUGCCCCCCCACCCACGCCCGCCCGCCCUCUCUUCACUCAGAUGAAAAUUAUGCUGUGGACUGAUUGCAGCAACAUCUUAAAAUCCUUCACUUUCUCACCCAAUAAGCAUCGGCUAAACUGCUCCCAGAAGAGACACUCAUGUGCUGAUACAUUUACGGCACUUGUGGUAAUAGUUUGAACAUUCAGACUCUAGUUUCUGUGGAAACCUUUGGCACUCUUGUGCCCUUGGAUUUGGAAUCUGUAUGUGUGGCUCUGCACUUAUAGUGUUUUUUAUGUUUUUUGAUGAACAGGCAAUGCGGGUGCGGUCCAAGCUCAAGGGCAUAGCCCAUCUAUCUGCCAUCUGUCAGCGACUUUUCAUCCGGCUUUAGUAAUUACAGAAGCGUAAAUAAGGCCAGGAGACAGGAGUUUGACAGCUGUAUAAGAUCUAUGAGAUCUGUGUGUGUGUAUUUUUGUGUGUCCCUGGUAAGCAAAAAAAACAAAAACAUUUUAGGACUUGAAGCUUUUCUCUCAGAAUGUGAGCAGGGCUUUUAUAGGCCUCCUUGGAAGUAACUAAGGGUCUCUAACUUUGUAUUCCUCAACAUGUUUACUGGGUGGUGACCUCCGCUGCAGGCUGAGAGUCAGAUGGGUGAGACGGAUAUUGUAUCAAUGAGUACGACACAGAAGCAUUAAGAGACAGGGUUUCACCAAAUGAAUGUAUUUGUGUCUGAACCAUCUUCUGGUGGAUUCAUUUCAUGUAACAUCACAGGCAAUGUCUGCAAAACCCCAAAAAAUGAGCCAGCCAUUGAAUAAAGAAAAGGGUGGUUUUAAAUAGUGGUCUGAAUCUGACCAGAUAACCUAUAGGGGGGGAAAAAACGUGGAAGCAAUAACAAAAAGGACUAUAAACCAGUUUGGGGAGAUCAGGGAAACCGACAUUUCACUCUGAGGCUCAGCAGGGUAAAACACCUUAAAUCUUCUAUCCUGCACUCUCCAUUUUAAACUGCAGAAAGAUUCUUUAUCUUUAUGUGUCUGCAGUAGUAAAAGAUUAAAGUUGUCUGCAUGCAGUGCAGGACAACUCUAGGUGGUCUGGCUUCACAGACCACACAGACAUUAAAGAACACACACACUCCUUCCUUGGAGAAAAAAAAAAGUAGGUGCUUUGUUCAUUAUAUUGAUUGUUCCACAGCAGUGUGGGUCUUUAAAUCUAAAAUUAAAUCGUCCAUGGAUCUUUUCAGAUGAACUGCGUAAUGUCUACGAUCUAAUCUUUAGUCUAGUGAUUCUAAUGAUGGUCACCGUACUUAACAUUUCGCCGUGGGACGAUUGAACAAGACUCAAGUGUUCCCUGGGGCCAAGCAUAACACCGUGAUGCACGCAUAUCUUUGUGCAUCACUUUUUCAUUCGCGAUGGAUGGGCUGCCCGCAGCCGUCUUGAUGAAUCCAUUUUGCACUUCGGGUGGAUCCUUCAUCUUUAGCUUAUGAUGAAACAACCUGAGCCGCUUUCAGAGGCCAUAAUAAACAUGC